ACAGGUGACUGAUGCCCAAUGAGAAGGUGAACGUGACAUAUACCUUUGUCAGCUUCAAGAAAGGAACCACGAGACAGGUGACUGAUGCCCGAUGAGAAGGUGAACGUGACAUAUACCUUUGUCAGCUUCAAGAAAGGAACGACGAGACAGGUGACUGAUACCCGAUGAGAAGGUGAACAUGACAUAUACCUUUGUCAGCUUCAAGAAAGGAACCACGAGACAGGUGACUGAUGCCCAAUGAGAAGGUGAACGUGACAUAUACCUUUGUCAGCUUCAAGAAAGGAACCACGAGACAGGUGACUGAUACCCGAUGAGAAGGUGAACAUGACAUAUACCUUUGUCAGCUUCAAGAAAGGAACCACGAGACAGGUGACUGAUUCCCGAUGAGCAGGUGAACGUGACAUAUACCUUUGUCAGCUUCAAGAAAGGAACCACGAGACAGGU
This is a long non-coding RNA of Hyla sarda, 444 nucleotides long. RefSeq lists it as uncharacterized. Lineage: Eukaryota; Metazoa; Chordata; Amphibia; Anura; Hylidae. The record is from RefSeq and is a predicted model, not a curated record. The transcript has 6 exons.